RNAcentral lists this ribosomal RNA (497 nucleotides) under uncultured bacterium. RNAcentral's name for it is "partial 16S ribosomal RNA". It matches the Rfam family "Bacterial small subunit ribosomal RNA", at positions 28 to 507 of the family's 1533-position model. The record is from RNAcentral.
GAUGAACGCUGGCGGCGUGCCUAAUACAUGCAAGUCGAGCGAACAGAUGAUGAGCUUGCGCCUCUGACGUUAGCGGCGGGCGGGAGAGUAACGCGUGUAUAACCUACCUAUAAUACGGGGAUAAUUUCGGAAAACCGGAUCUAAUACCAUAGAAUAUAUUGAACCGCAGUGGUCAAUGGUUAAUUACGGUUUUGCUGUCAGGUAUAGCUGGAUCCAGGCCUGUUUGGCUGGUUGGUAAGGUAACGGCUUACCAAGGCAACGAGGCGUAUCCGAAGUGAGAGAGUGAUCGGCCACACGGGAACGUGAACACGCUCCAGACUCCUACGGGAGGCAGCAGUAGGGAAUGUUACGCAAUGGGCGAAAGCCUGACGGAGCAAGGCCGCGUGAGUGAUGAAGGUCUUCGGAUCGUAAAACCCUGUUAUUAGGGAAGAACAAAUGUGUAAGUAAAUAUGCCCGUAUUGACGGUACCUAAUAAGAAAGCACCGGCUAACUACGUG